RNAcentral lists this ribosomal RNA (497 nucleotides) under uncultured bacterium. RNAcentral's name for it is "partial 16S ribosomal RNA". It matches the Rfam family "Bacterial small subunit ribosomal RNA", at positions 28 to 507 of the family's 1533-position model. The record is from RNAcentral.
GAUGAACGCUGGCGGCGUGCCUAAUACAUGCAAGUCGAGCGAACGGACGAGAAGCUUGCUUUUCUGAUGUUAGCGGCGGACGGGUGCGUAACACGUGGAUAACCUACCUAUAAGACUGGGAUAACUUCGGGAAACCGGAGCUAAUACCGGAUAAUAUUUUGAACCGCAUGGUUCAAAAGUGAAAGACGGUCUUGCUGUCACUUAUAGAUGGAUCCGCGCUGCAUUAGCUAGUUGGUAAGGUAACGGCUUACCAAGGCAACGAUGCAUAGCCGACCUGAGAGGGUGAUCGGCCACACUGGAACUGAGACACGGUCCAGACUCCUACGGGAGGCAGCAGUAGGGAAUCUUCCGCAAUGGGCGAAAGCCUGACGGAGCAACGCCGCGUGAGUGAUGAAGGUCUUCGGAUCGUAAAACUCUGUUAUUAGGGAAGAACAUAUGUGUAAGUAACUGUGCACAUCUUGACGGUACCUAAUCAGAAAGCCACGGCUAACUACGUG